UACGAAGGGGGCUAGCGUUGUUCGGAAUUACUGGGCGUAAAGACGUGCGCAGGCGGCUUCUCAAGUCAGGGGUGAAAGGCCCAGAGCUCAACUCUGGAAUUGCCUUUGAGACUGAGUGGCUUGAGUACGAGAGAGGUGAGUGGAAUUCCCAGUGUAGAGGUGAAAUUCGUAGAUAUUGGGAAGAACACCGGUGGCGAAGGCGGCUCACUGGCUCGUAACUGACGCUCAUGCACGACAGCGUGGGGAUCAAACAGG
Molecule: ribosomal RNA, 255 nt
Filed under: uncultured bacterium
Lineage: Bacteria
Description: partial 16S ribosomal RNA
Rfam family: Bacterial small subunit ribosomal RNA
Source: RNAcentral